This is a long non-coding RNA of Amphiprion ocellaris (clown anemonefish), 1243 nucleotides long. RefSeq lists it as uncharacterized. The transcript has 3 exons. NCBI's taxonomy places the organism in Eukaryota, Metazoa, Chordata, Actinopteri, Pomacentridae. The record is from RefSeq and is a predicted model, not a curated record.
GUAUGAUCCUGGCCAAAAUCGAACCAACGCCCAGCCAAUCACGUGGCGCUCCUCCGGUCAUGUGACGCAGCCGGUUCACCUCACAAGACCGGGGUCAACCACGGCUACCAGCAUGAACGACGGCGCUUCAGACCUUUGUAGCGAGGACCCGAUGCCAGGUCCAGUGGACAGACUUCAGACGUCUCUGUGUGUCCCGUCCUGUCCGGUCCUGUCUCUGGUUGCCUGGUUACAGACGCUGCUGCACCCGCAUGUUUAAAAAUGUCUACACCUGAAACUCCACCACAUCUAAAGAAGCAAAAACGUUUGCAAAUGUACAGACUGGAGUGGGAAGAGUGGAACCUCUGGCAAUGGAUACAAGGCAAACUGUGUUUUCUGUUGCUCAUGGACUGGCUGAAGUAAGGCAGCAUCAGGAAACAAACAUGGAGGAAAUAUGAGAACAGAGAUGACCCAACCAGCAGGUUACAGUUUAUCAUCAUCUAAUCAUCUCCUGAAGUCGAUAUGGUCUCUCUCUAUCUCCCCACACAUCCACCAACCACUGGAACACAUCUCCAAAGUUCUGCUGGGCCAGCUCAGCUUCCCCUCAGAAGAAGUGCUGCCACCUGCCAGAUGAAGGAGCCUUUUGAGAGGCAGCUGGCAUCAUGAUUGGACUGUACUUUGGUCUGUUCCAAUCCAGCUUCAACUCCAGAGACGGCAGGCGGGACGAGUCAACGGAGGCCGGAUGGACGAAGGCAUGCAGCUGAGUACAAUCCAGAAAACAACAGAGGAGGAGUGCAUCGGCCCAGAGCCAGAAUAUACAGAGUAGCAUCGUAUGUCUCUUAGAAAACAUCAUAGUAUAGCCUUUGGUAUGAAAAAACACCAUCAUAUACAUCGUAUAUUGUACAAAUAACAAAGGAAAGAGACAUACGUUGUAGAAUUGUAGUAAUUGUGGACUGACUGAUUUACUGAUUAUCAGUAUUUAAUUUUUUACUGAUUUGCGGUAAUAAAUACAUUUAAAAAUGGCGCUGCUUUGGUUCUGAACCUUUAUCUACCUGUGGUCGCUCUGUCUUCUGGAGUGAUUUGAUUGGUUAUACAUCAUGAAUAAAACUCCUUAAACUUAACAUCUGCAAACAAAACAAAAACGUAUCAACAAAGUUUUCUGUUAGAGUUUGUGUUCUUCUAAGUUUAACUCCCAAGAUUUUAAAUACUUUCAUUUACUGCAAAUGAAUAUCUACUCUAAAUGUGUCACUAAUAAUCAUUAUCAGCC